GCUGUUAAGCUCGUAGUUGGAUCAAGAGUUGGACAGUGCACGGUGGCCUCGUCGACUGCGUGGUUCCGAUCACAAGGAAGGCGGCGGAUCAACCCCGUGCAUCAAACUGUCCACUCUAACAGACCGAAGCGGUGCCCUGUGAGUAAGCUCCUUCAUUGGGGCUGAAAGCGCCUUCGCAUUCACCAUAUGCAUACGGGCCGUCGGUCAAUGUUACUGUGAACAAACCAGCGUGUUCAAAGCAGGCUUUCGCCUGAACGUUCGAGCAUGGAAUAACAAGGGAUCGAUUCUCUCGGUUCUUUUUGUUGGUUUUUAACCCGAGAAGGAGUAAUUCAGGUCACGGUGUCUGAGCCAGGUACCCCUUCGCCCAGGCGGAGGCCCUGGUUAGGCCGUGGCCUUACGGGACUAAUAGGGACGGACGGGGUCGUACGUACUUCCACGUCAGAGGUGAAAUUCUUAGAUCGUGGGAAGACGAACUUCUGCGAAAGCAUUCGACAAGAACGCCUUCAUUAAUCAAGAACGAGAGUGUGGGGAUCGAAGAUGAUCAGAUACCGUCGUAGUCCACUACUGUAAACAAUGCCGUCUCAGGAUUGAGAAGUGAACUCUAUGACCUUCACAGCACUAACCCCUGAAACGAGAAAUCAAAGAUUUUGGGUUCAGGGGGGAGUACAUUCGCAAGGCUGAAACUUAAAGGAAUUGACGGAAUGACACCACAAGGCGUGGAGUAUGCGGCUUAAUUUGACUCAACACGGGGAAUUUU
Molecule: ribosomal RNA, 757 nt
Filed under: uncultured eukaryote
Lineage: Eukaryota
Description: bacterial SSU rRNA
Rfam family: Eukaryotic small subunit ribosomal RNA
Source: RNAcentral